CCAGUUUCCAAUGCAGUUCCCAGGUUGAGCCCGGGGAUUUCACAUCCGACUUGACCGACCGCCUGCGCGCGCUUUACGCCCAGUAAUUCCGAUUAACGCUUGCACCCUUCGUAUUACCGCGGCUGCUGGCACGAAGUUAGCCGGUGCUUAUUCUUUGGGUACCGUCAUCCCCUG
RNAcentral lists this ribosomal RNA (174 nucleotides) under Aquimonas voraii. RNAcentral describes it as "partial 16S rRNA". Lineage: Bacteria; Pseudomonadati; Pseudomonadota; Gammaproteobacteria; Lysobacterales; Lysobacteraceae. The record is from RNAcentral.